RNAcentral lists this ribosomal RNA (492 nucleotides) under uncultured bacterium. RNAcentral's name for it is "partial 16S ribosomal RNA". It matches the Rfam family "Bacterial small subunit ribosomal RNA", at positions 29 to 507 of the family's 1533-position model. The record is from RNAcentral.
AGUGAACGCUGGCGGUAGGCCUAACACAUGCAAGUCGAACGGCAGCACAGUAAGAGCUUGCUCUUACGGGUGGCGAGUGGCGGACGGGUGAGGAAUACAUCGGAAUCUACUUUUUCGUGGGGGAUAACGUAGGGAAACUUACGCUAAUACCGCAUACGACCUACGGGUGAAAGCAGUGGAUCUUCGGACCUUGCGCGAUUGAAUGAGCCGAUGUCGGAUUAGCUAGUUGGCGGGGUAAAGGCCCACCAAGGCGACGAUCGGUAGCUGGUCUGAGAGGAUGAUCAGCCACACUGGGACUGAGACCCGCUCCAGACUCCUACGGGAGGCAGCAGUGGGGAAUAUUGGACAAUGGGCGCAAGCCUGAUCCAGCCAUACCGCGUGGGUGAAGAAGGCCUUCGGGUUGUAAAGCCCUUUUGUUGGGAAAGAAAAGCAGCAGGUUAAUACCCCGCUGUUCUGACGGUACCCAAAGAAUAAGCACCGGCUAACUUCGUG